This is a long non-coding RNA of Manduca sexta (tobacco hornworm), 477 nucleotides long. RefSeq lists it as uncharacterized. The transcript is spliced from 2 exons. NCBI's taxonomy places the organism in Eukaryota, Metazoa, Arthropoda, Insecta, Lepidoptera, Sphingidae. The record is from RefSeq and is a predicted model, not a curated record.
UAAUAAAGUUAAUAUUAUAAAAAUCUGACAACGUCAAAACCGACAUAACUGACAAUAAUAAAAUUUAUUUGAUAUUAUUUUUAUAAAAUAUUUUAAUGGAUCGUUGCCGUUGCGAGGAAUAUAAAGCCGCUGUGAAGAAACUGAGAUUCUACACCGUAGGAACACUCAGGCCUGAUAUUAUUGAUAAUUAUGAUAGAACUGGUUACCAAGUAGCCUGGAUAAAAAAUGGCGUGAAUUAUACGGAUUUAAGGUUCUCCAAGCCAAGAGCGAGUAAGAUUCUGUCGCCUGAAGAAUUGCCAGAGAAUCGAAUGUCGAAGGAAGCCCGCGUGGUGAACCAAAUGUGGUGUCCUUAUAUGACUCCCAUCAAAAUUUAGACAUGUAUGUCAUUUUUUUCUAAAAAAAAUAUGUUAAAUCAUCAUCCAUAAUGGAGGGUUGUAAAAACGAAAUAAAUUCUUAUUAUAUUGCCUUGUUUUUAAA